AUUGAACGCUGGCGGCAGGCCUAACACAUGCAAGUCGAACGGUAACAGGAAGAAGCUUGCUUCUUUGCUGACGAGUGGCGGACGGGUGAGUAAUGUCUGGGAAACUGCCUGAUGGCGGGGGAUAACUACUGGAAACGGUAGCUAUUACCGCAUAACGUCGCAAGACCAAAGAGGGGGACCUUCGGGCCUCUUGCCAUCGGAUGUGCCCAGAUGGGAUUAGCUCGUAGGUGGGGUAACGGCUCACCUAGGCGACGAUCCCUAGCUGGUCUGAGAGGAUGACAGGCCACACUGGAACGGAGAAACGGUCCAGACUCCAAGGGGAGGCAGCGGUGGGGAAUAUUGCACAAGGGGCGCAAGCCUGAUGCAGCCAUGCGGGGUGGAUGAAGAAGGCCUUCGGGUGGUAAAGUACUUUCAGCGGGGAGGAAGGGAGUAAAGUUAAUACCUUUACUCAUGGACGUAACCCGCAGAAGAAGCACCGGCUAACUCCGU
Molecule: ribosomal RNA, 489 nt
Filed under: uncultured bacterium
Lineage: Bacteria
Description: partial 16S ribosomal RNA
Rfam family: Bacterial small subunit ribosomal RNA
Source: RNAcentral